Molecule: long non-coding RNA, 485 nt
Filed under: Bos taurus (domestic cattle)
Lineage: Eukaryota; Metazoa; Chordata; Mammalia; Artiodactyla; Bovidae
Description: long non-coding RNA NONBTAT001710
Source: RNAcentral
UACAAUCCUGCAGAACCAGCAUGUGUCAUUUAGACAAAUUUUUCUUUCCAAAAGUAAAUGAAAAUGCCCUCUAAAUAAUUUAUAUAUCAAUUUGUUUAAUUUUUGAAAACAAUAGUCAAUAGGGUCUGCUUUGUCCUAUUUAACCAUAAAUGUUACACAUUUACAAACUGAAGCAAAACUGGAUAGUAGAGAUUUAAAGGAAAUCUUUAAAAGAACUUAAAGCAAUUUUAAUUGCUUUCCAGUCCACUGUGUUUUCAAAGUUGAUUAUCAUCAAGCCAGGAUGAAAGCUGUGAACCCCAGACCAUCUGCUUCUUUAAUAAAAAGAAUGUUUAGAUUAUUAGCAAAGUAAUAUCUUUAAAUGUUAUCUUCACACAGUUGGAAUUUUAGUAUAAACUUGCAUAUCAAGUCCCUUUCCAGUAUUUAUUCUGCUUUAAAAAUAUAUACAGCUAAUGAUGUUUAAAUAAGUAUUCUGAGCCGUGUGUCCA